Molecule: non-coding RNA, 468 nt
Organism: Nerophis lumbriciformis (worm pipefish)
Lineage: Eukaryota; Metazoa; Chordata; Actinopteri; Syngnathiformes; Syngnathidae
Source: RefSeq, a predicted model, not a curated record
CUGUGAAGUGACAACCAUUUCAGGUUACUACCUCUUGAAGCUCAUCGAGAGAAUGCCAAGCAUGUGCAAAGCAGUAACCGGAGCAAAGGGUGGCUAUUUUGAAGAAACCAGAACAUGAAACAUGUUUUCAGGUUCAAGAUGCAGUCGAGCUUUCUCUUGCGGCAGCGUUGUGCAGCGAUACGGUUCUUGCUUCUUCGCCUCACAUCGUGGAUGAACUCCAGCUGCUCUGAGCGGCAAAUAAACGAUGCUUCUUACAAGUACCAUCCCUGGAAGAAGAGGAAGAGCUAAACAUGCUUCACUACUAGGGUUGCCACAGUUACUUUGAAAAGGAAAUACUCGCUGCAGGCGGCCAGCACAGCCCGGUGCCCGCGAAACUCCUUGCCCUCCACCAGGACUGUCACAUCGCACAGGAUGUCCUGCUUCCGCUGGUCGUUGAGGCAGAGGAGGAUAUUGGUACAAUGAACCGUC